UACGUAGGGUGCAAGCGUUGUCCGGAUUUAUUGGGCGUAAAGAGCUCGUAGGCGGCUCGUUGCGUCGGCUGUGAAAACCCGCAGCUCAACUGUGGGCUUGCAGCCGAUACGGGCGGGCUGGAGUUCGGUAGGGGAGACUGGAAUUCCUGGUGUAGCGGUGAAAUGCGCAGAUAUCAGGAAGAACACCGAUGGCGAAGGCAGUCUCUGGGACGGUACUGACGCUGAGACGCGAAAGCGUGGGGAGCGAACAGG
Molecule: ribosomal RNA, 252 nt
Filed under: uncultured bacterium
Lineage: Bacteria
Description: partial 16S ribosomal RNA
Rfam family: Bacterial small subunit ribosomal RNA
Source: RNAcentral